GAUGAAGAACGUAGCGAAAUGCGAUAAGUAGUGUGAAUUGCAGAAUUCAGUGAAUCAUCGAAUCUUUGAACGCACAUUGCGCCCCUUGGUAUUCCAUGGGGCAUGCCUGUUCGAGCGUCAUUUGUACCUUCAAGCUUUGCUUGGUGUUGGGUGUUUGUCUCGCCUUUGCGUGUAGACUCGCCUUAAAAUAAUUGGCAGCCGGCGUAUUGAUUUCGGAGCGCAGUACAUCUCGCGCUUUGCACUCAUAACGACAGCGUCCAAAAGUACAGUUUACACUCUUGACCUCGGAUCAGGUAGGGAUACCCGCUGAACUUAAGCAUAUCAAUAAGCGGAGGA
RNAcentral lists this unclassified non-coding RNA (336 nucleotides) under soil metagenome. RNAcentral's name for it is "partial contains 5.8S ribosomal RNA, internal transcribed spacer 2, and large subunit ribosomal RNA". The stretch from base 1 to 120 matches the Rfam family "5.8S ribosomal RNA", at positions 35 to 154 of the family's 154-position model. The record is from RNAcentral.